Molecule: ribosomal RNA, 365 nt
Filed under: Protolaeospira capensis
Lineage: Eukaryota; Metazoa; Annelida; Polychaeta; Sabellida; Serpulidae
Description: eukaryotic LSU rRNA
Rfam family: Eukaryotic large subunit ribosomal RNA
Source: RNAcentral
UUACCCCCCGGGGGAAAAUUACAUAUCAAUAAGCGGAGGAAAAGAAAAUAACAAUGAUUCCCUUAGUAACGGCGAGUGAAGCGGGAAGAGCCCAGCACUGAAUCCCCCGGCCGUGUGGUCGACGGGACCUGUGGUGUUUGGGAGUGUCUUUGGUGCGCUGGCGCGGUGUUUGAGUCCUCCUGAUCGGGGCUUGUUCCCAGAGCGGGUGUAAGGCCUCUACUGCACCAAGCCGCGUGUCUCUGGCGCUCUCUGGAGUCGGGUUGUUUGAGAAUGCAGCCCAAAGUGGGAGGUAAACUCCUCCUAAGGCUAAAUACAGGCACGAGUCCGAUAGCGAACAAGUACGGGACGGAAAGUUGAAAAGAAUC